UGCGGCCAAGCUAAUAAGGGCGUGUGGGGGAUGUCUAGGCGUCAGGAGGCGAAGAAGGGCGUGGAAGACUGCGAAAAUCCCGGCGGAGCCGUCAAACGGGCGUUGAGGCCGGGGUCCCCGAAUCGGCAGGCACUGAAUCCAUAGGUGUUUGCGGCGAACCCAGGGAACUGAAACAUCUCAGUACCUGGAGGAAGAGAAAGAAACCUCGAUUCCGUUAGUAGCGGCGAGCGAAAGCGGAACAGCCCAAACCUCAGGGACUCGUCCCCGAGGGGUUGUAGGACCAGGCUUAUGAUUUCUGGAAGGUAGUCGAAGGCUCUGGAAUGAGCCGCCAAAGAGGGUGAAAGCCCCGUAGACGAAACUGGAAAGAGAUCGCCUGGCACCUGAGUAGGUCCGGACACGUGAAAGCCGGGCUGAAUCCGCGGGGCCCAUCCCGCAAGGCUAAAUACUCCCUGACGACCGAUAGCGAACCAGUAGCGCGAGCGAAAGAUGGGAAGAACCCCGACAAGGGGAGGAUAGUGAACCUGAAACCACAUGCCUACAAGCGCUCAAAGCCCUACGGAGCAAUCCAGGGUGAUGGGGUGCCUUUUGCAUAAUGAUCCGGCGACUUACCGUCACCAGCAAGGUUAAGCCGUUCCGCGGCGGAGCCGAAGCGAAAGCGAGUCUGAACAGGGCGAGAAGUUGGGGGCGGUAGACGCGAAACCACGGGUCCGAACUCACUAGUGUUGAAAAACUAGGGGAUGACCUGUGUGGAGGAUUGAAAGUAUCAUCAAACGUGGAGAUAGCUCGUUCUCUCCGAAAUAACUUUAGGGUUAACGUCGGGGUAGUUGGCACGAGGGGUAGAGCGACUGAAUCGGAAUGGGGGCCUACCCGGCUACCCAUCCGAACCAAACUCCGAAUACUCGUGUACAAGCUCCGGCAGCUAGACGGCGGGGGAUAAGCUCCGUCGUCGAGAGGGGAACAACCCAGACCGCCUGCUAAGGUCCCUAAAUGACGCUCAGUGCGAAAGGAAGUUGGAUUCCAGUGACAGCCAGGAUGUUGGCUUAGAAGCAGCCACCAUUUCAAAAGUGCGUAAUAGCUUACUGGUCGAGGAAUCCUGCGCCGAUAAUGAACGGGACUAAGCGUGAUACCGAAGCAGCGGGCUCAGUAAUGAGCGGUAGGAGAGCGUCGUGUGGUAGAGAGAAGCGGGACGGUGACGGCCCGUGGACGAGACACGAGUGAUCAUGCCGGAACGAGUAACGAUAAAACGGGUGAGAAUCCCGUUCGCCGAAAGCCUAAGGUUUCCUGGGGAAGGUAAAUCCGCCCAGGGUUAGUCGGCCCCUAAGUCGAGGCCGAAAGGCGUAGACGAUGGCCACCGGGUUAAUAGUCCCGGACCGUCUGGAGAGGUUGAAAGCGUCAGGACGCUGACUGGAAAGGGAUCGGCCCACUAGAUGUGGCCGUUCGCAAGACGAGGACGCAUACGUUUCCGAAGUCCCUGGAAAGGCAGUCGAGAAAAGCCGACGCUGGACAAACCAGCGACCGUACUAAAACCGACACAGGUAGGCGAGAUGAAUAUUCUCAGGCGCUCGAGAGAACGCUGGUGAAGGAACUCGGCAAAUUAACCCCGUAACUUCGGGAAAAGGGGUGCCUCCGUGGGUGUUAAAGCCCGUAGAGGCCGCAGAGAAAUGGAUCUGGCGACUGUUUACUAAAAACACAGGUCUGUGCGAACACGCAAGUGGAAGUAUACAGACUGACGCCUGCCCGGUGCCGGUAGGUUAAGGGAGAGGGUUAGCCGCAAGGUGAAGCCAGCAACCGAAGCCCCGGUAAACGGCGGCCGUAACUAUGACGGUCCUAAGGUAGCGAAGUUCCUUGUCGGGUAAGUUCCGACCUGC
This 1868-nucleotide ribosomal RNA is filed under the name Planctomycetia bacterium. Its description in RNAcentral is "partial 23S ribosomal RNA". It matches the Rfam family "Bacterial large subunit ribosomal RNA", at positions 1 to 1991 of the family's 2925-position model. Lineage: Bacteria; Pseudomonadati; Planctomycetota; Planctomycetia. The record is from RNAcentral.